This 981-nucleotide ribosomal RNA is filed under the name Enterococcus faecium. RNAcentral describes it as "bacterial SSU rRNA". It matches the Rfam family "Bacterial small subunit ribosomal RNA", at positions 41 to 984 of the family's 1533-position model. Lineage: Bacteria; Bacillati; Bacillota; Bacilli; Lactobacillales; Enterococcaceae. The record is from RNAcentral.
GGCAUUGCUACAGACUAGACAUGCAGUCGUACGCUUCUUUUUCCACCGGAGCUUGCUCCACCGGAAAAAGAAGAGUGGCGAACGGGUGAGUAACACGUGGGUAACCUGCCCAUCAGAAGGGGAUAACACUUGGAAACAGGUGCUAAUACCGUAUAACAAUCGAAACCGCAUGGUUUUGAUUUGAAAGGCGCUUUCGGGUGUCGCUGAUGGAUGGACCCGCGGUGCAUUAGCUAGUUGGUGAGGUAACGGCUCACCAAGGCCACGAUGCAUAGCCGACCUGAGAGGGUGAUCGGCCACAUUGGGACUGAGACACGGCCCAAACUCCUACGGGAGGCAGCAGUAGGGAAUCUUCGGCAAUGGACGAAAGUCUGACCGAGCAACGCCGCGUGAGUGAAGAAGGUUUUCGGAUCGUAAAACUCUGUUGUUAGAGAAGAACAAGGAUGAGAGUAACUGUUCAUCCCUUGACGGUAUCUAACCAGAAAGCCACGGCUAACUACGUGCCAGCAGCCGCGGUAAUACGUAGGUGGCAAGCGUUGUCCGGAUUUAUUGGGCGUAAAGCGAGCGCAGGCGGUUUCUUAAGUCUGAUGUGAAAGCCCCCGGCUCAACCGGGGAGGGUCAUUGGAAACUGGGAGACUUGAGUGCAGAAGAGGAGAGUGGAAUUCCAUGUGUAGCGGUGAAAUGCGUAGAUAUAUGGAGGAACACCAGUGGCGAAGGCGGCUCUCUGGUCUGUAACUGACGCUGAGGCUCGAAAGCGUGGGGAGCAAACAGGAUUAGAUACCCUGGUAGUCCACGCCGUAAACGAUGAGUGCUAAGUGUUGGAGGGUUUCCGCCCUUCAGUGCUGCAGCUAACGCAUUAAGCACUCCGCCUGGGGAGUACGACCGCAAGGUUGAAACUCAAAGGAAUUGACGGGGGGCCCGCACAAGCGGUGGGAGCAUGGUGGUUUAAUUCGAAGCACGGCGAGGAACCUUACCAGGUCUUGG